This 412-nucleotide ribosomal RNA is filed under the name uncultured bacterium. Its description in RNAcentral is "bacterial SSU rRNA". It matches the Rfam family "Bacterial small subunit ribosomal RNA", at positions 362 to 776 of the family's 1533-position model. The record is from RNAcentral.
UAUUGCACAAUGGGCGAAAGCCUGAUGCAGCGACGCCGCGUGAGUGAAGAAGUAUUUCGGUAUGUAAAGCUCUAUCAGCAGGGCAGAAAGACCUCGUAAGAGGGGAUGACGGUAUCUGAGUAAGAAGCCACGGCUAACUACGUGCCAGCAGCCGCGGUAAUACGUAGGGGGCAAGCGUUAUCCGGAUUUACUGGGUGUAAGGGAGCGUAGACGGUGUAUCAAGUCUGAAGUGAAACCCCACGGCUCAACCGUGGGCUUGCUUUGGAAACUGGUAGACUAGAGUACUGGAGAGGUAAGCGGAAUUCCUGGUGUAGUAGUGAAAUGCGUAGAUAUCAGGAAGAACAUCAGUGGCGAAGGCGGCUUACUGGACAGCAACUGACGUUGAGGCUCGAAGGCGUGGGGAGCAAACAGG